GGGGACGAUUUUGGUUUCGACGGGGAUUUAAACAAAAUAUACAAAGCAUGUGGUGGUCGCCCAUACACCUUAAACAUGAGCAAGCGAAAUAAACGCAGAAGAAAAUGACAAUGUUGUUUCUUACAAUGCUAUGCCUUGCGCUGCUUAAGUGAGAAAUGACGACUUGAUUGAAUUAUUCAAUCUGCUCUCCUUUGAUUUUGCCAAUUGAAGUGUAGGGUAUCAUCUUAGGCAAAAAUUUUACACCCAGUUGCCCUUGCAAGUGUGAAAAAUUUUAAGGGAUAGUUUUUAAAACCUGUUUAUGGGUUAAUUAAAAAUGAAUUUUAAUCAUAAACUAAACAUGUAGAAAAAUAUUUUGUUUUGUUUUCGGACGAGGGUUCAAUUCCCUCCGUCUCCACCA
RNAcentral lists this transfer-messenger RNA (397 nucleotides) under Christensenellales. RNAcentral's name for it is "Caccovivens sp905195085 Standard tmRNA". It matches the Rfam family "transfer-messenger RNA". From Rfam's summary of the family: Bacterial tmRNA, also known as 10Sa RNA or SsrA, is named for its dual tRNA and mRNA-like properties. The record is from RNAcentral. Lineage: Bacteria; Bacillati; Bacillota; Clostridia. RNAcentral also lists the same sequence under 1 other name.